RNAcentral lists this ribosomal RNA (413 nucleotides) under uncultured prokaryote. Its description in RNAcentral is "bacterial SSU rRNA". It matches the Rfam family "Bacterial small subunit ribosomal RNA", at positions 505 to 918 of the family's 1533-position model. The record is from RNAcentral.
GUGCCAGCCGCCGCGGUAAUACGUAGGGGGCGAGCGUUGCUCGGAAUUACUGGGCGUAAAGGGUGUGUAGGUGGCUGGAUAAGUCAAAGAUGAAAUCCCGAGGCUCAACUUCGGAAUGGUCUUUGAUACAGUUCAGCAUGAGGUUAGUUGAGGAGAGCGGAAUUCCCGGUGGAGCGGUGAAAUGCGUAGAUAUCGGGAGGAACACCUGAGGCGUAGGCGGUUCUCUAUACUAUUCCUGACACUGAGACACGAAAGCUAGGGGAGCAAACGGGAUUAGAUACCCCGGUAGUCCUAGCUGUAAACGAUGGACGCUAGAUGUUCCUGCGUUUAUGUGGGAGUGUCGUAGCUAACGCGUUAAGCGUCCCGCCUGGGGAGUACGGUCGCAAGGCUGAAACUUAAAGGAAUUGACGGGG